RNAcentral lists this ribosomal RNA (431 nucleotides) under uncultured bacterium. RNAcentral's name for it is "partial 16S ribosomal RNA". It matches the Rfam family "Bacterial small subunit ribosomal RNA", at positions 29 to 505 of the family's 1533-position model. The record is from RNAcentral.
AACGAACGCUGGCGGCAUGCCUAACACAUGCCAGUCGAACGAGACCUUCGGGUCUAGUGGCGCACGGGUGCGUAACGCGUGGGAACCUGCCCUUAGGUUCGGAAUAACACCCCGAAAGGGGUGCUAAUACCGGAUAAUGUCUUCGGACCAAAGAUUUAUCGCCUUUGGAUGGGCCCGCGUUGGAUUAGCUAGUUGGUAGGGUAAAAGCCUACCAAGGCGACGAUCCAUAGCUGGUCUGAGAGGAUGAUCAGCCACACUGGGACUGAGACACGGCCCAGACUCCGACGGGAGGCAGCAGUGGGGAAUAUUGGACAAUGGGCGAAAGCCUGAUCCAGCAAUGCCGCGUGAGUGAUGAAGGCCUUAGGGUUGUAAAGCUCUUUUACCCGGGAUGAUAAUGACAGUACCGGGAGAAUAAGCUCCGGCUAACUCCG